Molecule: non-coding RNA, 69 nt
Organism: Ictidomys tridecemlineatus (thirteen-lined ground squirrel)
Lineage: Eukaryota; Metazoa; Chordata; Mammalia; Rodentia; Sciuridae
Source: Rfam
GGGACUGUGGCUCAGUGGCAGAGCGCUUACUUCGCACGUAGGAGGUAUUGGGUUUGAUCCUCAGCCCCA